ACAAGCGGAGGAGCAUGUGGUUAAUUCGAUGAUACGCGAGGAACCGUUACCUGGGCUCGAACGUAAGAUGACUGUAGGUGAAAGCUUACAUCUCUUCGGAGCAUUUUACGAGGUGCUGCAUGGUUGUCGUCAGCUCGUGCCGUGAGGUGUCGGGUUAAGUCCCAUAACGAGCGCAACCCUACCUUUAGUUGCCAUCAGGUAAUGCUGGGGACUCUAAAGGAACUGCCUACGCAAGUAGUGAGGAAGGCGGGGAUGACGUCAAAUCAGCACGGCCCUUACGUCCAGGGCUACACACGUGCUACAAUGGCCGAUACAGAGGGCAGCUACCUGGUGACAGGAUGCAAAUCUCCAAAGUCGGUCUCAGUUCGGAUCGGAGUCUGCAACCCGACUCCGUGAAGUUGGAUUCGCUAGUAAUCGCGCAUCAGCCAUGGCGCGGUGAAUACGUUCCCGGGCCUU
Molecule: ribosomal RNA, 456 nt
Filed under: uncultured Sphingobacteriales bacterium
Lineage: Bacteria; Pseudomonadati; Bacteroidota; Sphingobacteriia; Sphingobacteriales
Description: bacterial SSU rRNA
Rfam family: Bacterial small subunit ribosomal RNA
Source: RNAcentral